CGACAUUCUAUCUGUGCAUAACGAUACUUUCCCUUUUCAGAUGCCAGACCAUCGAGCGUCCAACGAUACGUUUUUCCACGAUUUUAGCAAUAUUUGCUGUUUGGUAAACACAUUCGACGUGGCGCGUUUUUCAGUCAGGUUCUACACGUUUCAUCUCUACUUCUGAACGACAGGAAAUUUAAUACAGAGUGCUUCGAAAUCACGGUAUAAGCGGUUGCCAGAUGAUUCUGCACGCAAAAAUAGGUAGAAAAAGAAGAAUAACAUUGUUUCCUUUAACCUCUUGAUUUUUGUACGGGGCUGUUUCUCUGUACGACAGAGUUUGACGCGAAAACGAUACAGCACUGCAAUGUGUGACAGAUAAUGCUGUUCUCUACGCAAGAACAUUGGAACGAAGUUUUUGAUAAUUAAAUUAUAAUUUUUCUUAAAGGUAUGAUGCAUAUACUUUAACUUUAAUGAUUUACUUUGAUAAUUAAUAAUACAAUUGAGUGUGAUAUAUUUUGAAGUACCGUAUGAUACAUAGAAUUUGUCACAAUUUUUACACUCAUAGCGCUAUAGUGUUUUUCAAAUUGCUCUUCGUUUUCUAUUUUGAAGCUACGUUUUGAGGUUGAAGAUUCUAAAAAAUUAUGAGGAUACGAAUUGGCGUGUUAAAAAGAGCAUCUAUCAAUGGUAUAUUUAUUUUAACUAAAAGCAACAAUUGAUACCUGACACUGGCGUAUCAAAAACAAAGACUAUGUAUUCUGCCAGUAUAUUGUUAACACCGUUAUAAAACAUUGCGAUUGCAAAAAUAUGUGACAAAUAAAAUACAUCGUUUAGUUCAAACGGUGAGCGAAUGAGUAAGUAGAGUGGGCCACUAUAGUGGCGUAUCGUAAUAUAAGAUGAUAUCCGCGAAAGCCACUAUAGUGACGCAUCGUACUUAAGAGAUUAAGGCUUCGUUUUCAAGAAAAAUCAGUGUGUAGAUCCGCCAGGUAUCCGUGUGCUAAUUGUAGGUUUCCAGUUAGCCGACUUCUCUUUCCCCUCGUGUCGAUAUUUAUCAACGUGAACAGUGUCACGGUUUGCUUCCUAUCGUUGCUGUUAUCUUAUUUCCGCACUGUCCGCGUUUGGAAUGCUUUCAUAAAUAAGGACAAGGGUAUUACUUUUUGUAAAUCAUUUUAUUUACGUAACAAGUCGAUCGCGUUGCUGUACACAUAACUCUGCUUAUCUCAUUAAAUUAUAUAUAAUUAUAUUAUAUGGAAACUUACAAUUAGCACACGGCUAUCUGACGGAUCUUCCAGAUAAUUUCUCUGGAAAACGAAGCUUCAAAGGGAAAAAUGUUAUUCUUCUUUCCCGACUAUUUUUUGUCUCUAAAAUCACCAACCGAACGUUUGUAGCAUAAUUUCGCAGACACCCUGUAUACUUGGAGUCGAGUAGUAUAUGAAUGUUAUACUAAAUAGAGUGGCAGCCACAGUAUAGCUAUCAUUUUGAAUAAACACGUUUUAAACGAAUGUUCGUAGUAUAAUUAUAAUAAAACUUUACUCUCUGAUAAAAUUGAAACUUCGUACGGAGAUUGAAGUUAUAUAAUACACAAGUGCCUGACGUUUUAGAAACAUUUUGCGCAUAAAAUACAAAUCUCGGAAAUGGCUGAUCUCGAGUUUUAAAUUAUCUUCAGUAUUCGUGAUUGCUACAUUACGAGGCGGAAAAUGUUGAUGUCUAGAAUUGCAGAAAAUAUUCGAUCGUAAUUAGCUACAUAUGCUUGUGAAGGAUAAACAGAGAAGAUUAUAAAAACCUGAUGGCCUGAUUAAAUUCACCCAUCGAAAGUUUUGCCAGCAUACGUCAUUCACCGCCACUUACCCAACAAAUUUUCCAACACGUGAUAGUUUAACUAACAAUGUAUGAUAACUGUUUACUUGGGCUACAUGUAAUAAGUUAAAAUUAGAAGCAGAAUCGCAGCAAGGACUGGAAGAUUUCUAUUUAAUGCCAAAGUAAAGAACUUUCCACGUGCGUUAAUUUUCAGUUGAUCGGGCAUUGUCAUUGAAUAUUAAUGGACUGUAACGAAUGAAACGUAAAACGCGCAAUGUAAAAUACGUAACGAAUUUUUGCAGGAAACCGUAGAAAAUUUCCAAGCAAUUUCAAACAGUAGAAUUUUCUUUCAAUUACUUUUUAAUUACUAGGUUGUAUAAUACAGUUGAAGAAUAUUGUAAAGUAUUAUAAAUAUAACUGCGAUGAACAUACGAAUAAUAUGGGUCAAUAUCGUUUAUAAUUACAUAUUAUUUAAUGAAAGCAAUGAAAAAAAAAUUAUGAGCGUUUCAUAAAAGAAUCGUUUCUGAACCUAAUGCAGUAGAGAUUGUUACACUUUCGUUAAAAAAUUUAUCGGAAUAUCCUCUGCGCUAUUAAUAUUGAAAUAUCAACUGUUUUAAUGUUUGGAAAUUUUCUUUGCGUGUGAUUGUUAAAUAAUUUAAAAAAUGUAGAAACACGUGUAUUCCACAUUUCUUGAUAUAAAAGUAUAUAUAUAAAGUAAUAGUAUAUGCUUCGUUGAUGAAAUAAAACUUUUAGACAAACGUGGGCAAUUACCAUAUUUUAACCUAAACAACCUAAUACAGAGAAGUAAAUAAAUCUUUAUGAAUGUACGUAAUAUAGACGUCUAUUGGUUCUUAACGAGUUCAAUUUCGAAAGUAUCAUGUUCAUUCGCGUAAAACCUACAAGUAAAAUAAAAUGAAAUUAUCUUCGUUUAUCCGACUUUCAAAUCAACUCUUAAAUCUACUAGACCUUAAUAUUUUCACGUAACUCGACUCUCAUUUAGCAAGACAAUUUUCGCAAAUUAAUUUGAAUUUCCAUUAAACUCGCAAUAUCGAGAAUUCAUUUUAUAGAAAGAUGGAAAUAAAUUCUACGCGUCGUUAUAAAAUAACACUACGGUGAUCCUGGUUUUCGUACGGUGUAUCAGAAAAAUGUUCUAUUCAUUGGCUCCAAAUAUGAGAAUUUAUGCUCCACCGUUCACUCAUUGUUGACCAACGAGGCUGGUCAAAGUUUAGCUCUACAGUUUACAGUAUAACACACACGCGUGGAACGUUUCUGCUUUGAACAGAAACUUUAAACGUAUAUUCCCUUUAUACUUUGCAGUUUCAUUGCUAUUCGAUGAACGUCCGAGGAAACAGAAAAAUUUUCCGCCAGAAUCGUGGUCCCACGUAUAUAUCUACCAUUAUUAUUCAGCGCUAUUCUGUAUACUCUACGUUUGUUUUGAACUUGCGUAGCAAACAUCAAAUUCGAAUAAUCUUUCCUACCAGUCAUAGAGCAAAGUUCAAAAGAAAAUAACGGUAAUGUUAUGUUAUGUCUAUUAGCAAUCAACCAGCCCUCACUUUUCCAAGUUAUAUAUCACUUGGUGUCAGAUUGACAUGGCAAAAAAUCAUCACAGAUUAAUAUUCCAAGAUUAGAUUCGCGUCAUUGGCGAGUAACAAAUGAACGUGCUGAUCGUAUUUAUCGCAAUGCAUCGCUCCACGUUGCUGAAAAGUAAUGAAAUAUUGUUGAUAGUAACAUAGUCACGCUACUAUGUGUAGGAACCAGUUACUUUCACAUUUUCGUUUAGCGAGAAAUUAAUUAAAUCGACAGAAACUUUUGCUGUUCCGUAAAAUAAUACACGUCCAUAUUCAAUUUAAAGAUUAAUAUAAAUAGUUUGAAGAUUUGACUGAAUUAUCGUAUUUAGAGUAUGUUCGAAAUUGAAUAUCGACGUGCGUGUACAGAGUAGCGAAAUUUUCUCUUAAUUUCAUUGAAUCGCGCUAAACGUGAAAAAAGAAUUUGAAAUGUGAAAAAUAAUAGCGUAAAUAUUUGAUUUACUAUUUCAUGUUUAGAGUAUGUCUAAAAUAAAAUAUCGACGUACAUUUAUACAACAGCAACACUUUCUCUUAAUGUAAUUGUAUCUUACUAAAUGGGAAUGUGAAAAUAAACGCUUCCUACACACAGUAUACGCAUAUUUAUCAACGUUUAAACAUAGUCUAAAUAGUCCAAAUAUUUAGACACGGUAUACAAUAAUUUUUUAUCGUAUUGCAAGAAUAAAUUCUCACUAUUGAUAUGAUUCUUGUUAUUGAUACGAGUUCCAUAUUUUCAAGUGUUUUAUUAUCGUUAUUGUUUCUGCAAAAAGUAUAUUUGUAAAAAUUAUGAUUUAUAUAGUGGAGCUAUCUACAAAUCCAUAAACAUUGUAAAAUAUUCUUUUAGAAAAUAUAUUUGCCUGCAAUACGAUCUGUCUGUAAUAAAUUUCGUUAAAAUCGCGCAAUAAUAAUGGUAAGUUGAAAUUAGGCGGAUUAAUUUACGACUGAUCGCGUUGCUACUAAUACUUCAUUAUCAUAAUCACAGUUACAUAAUUCAUAAUUAUUUUUCAUAACCAUAAUUAUUAUUUCAGUAGAUUGUAUAAAUUUGCACAAGGGAAAGGAAUAGCAACAAAUAUUAAUUUAUAGAGAAAUUCUAAAGAAAUGCGUCUUAACAAUACAAAUACCCGAGACAUCGCAAAUUAAAUGCUUAUACCCGAUCGAUCAUCGAUAAAAUACCAAUCGGUAAAAUCUACUUUUCAGUUUCUUAGAACACACGCCUCUGUAAGUAUAAAAUAUAAAAUACAAAGUAGAAAAUUUGUCCUUAUUUCGCCAUUUAAUUUUCCAUUCGCCAACAUCUUAUAAAUAGUCGAUAUGAAUCGAUCGCGAUUAAAGGCAAAGGACAGUUAAUGAAAUAACGAAAUCUGGAAGUUGCAGCAAUUGAACAAGUUCGAACGUUCCUCGAAGGCAUUUUACAGUUUUCCGACGUGGAGAACGCCGGUUCGACCUGUCUUAGGAAGCCUAUCGGAAACGUUAGUUUAUCACGGCGUGUUCCAGUUCGUGUCAAUUGCUCUAAAUUCAGGACGAGGCUGGAUCAGGGCUAGGGUAGCUAACUGGAUUGUAGGAAUUCAGGCUAAUACGAGUCUAUCAAAUUAUUCCGUCGGCCAGUCGCACGCGUUGUGACUCCUGCAGCAUCUUGUUGUCGGCUUUAACCCGACAAUUUUCAUCUGCGGAUAUCUGCUCUAUGUGUUCCUGCGGUGUUGACGUAGCGCGUUCGCUUCUGUGUACAAAUAUUCUGGCGAAAGAGUCGGCUCUGGUUUUAUAAAGUAGGAUUUAAGAAAUGUCAGAUAAAUCUUUCUUAGUGUUUAAACCAGCUUUGAUGUAUUUCGAGGUGGAUGUUUUCUUAAACAGCGAUUCCGGCGAUUUAUAACGUGGAUUUAAAUAUACACCGGACUUGUACGAAGACAUACAGUGACAAAUAAAAGUUAGAUUGCAGAAAUGAAGAUAAUUAAGUAUACCAUUGGUGAUUAAUUGGCUAUAGAUGCAGUGCCGUGAAUAAUUUUCCACUGGAACACGUUCCCUUAGUAUUAUUUUUUCGAUGUCUUCAGGAAACCACCGAUCGUGUUUUGAUAUGUUUGUUCAAAUAAAAGAUAAAGGCAAUUUUUCAACGAGACAAUGCUCCUAUUCAUCUUGUCACCGCUACAAAAAAGUGGUUCCAAGAUUUUGGAACGGAAUCGUCACCGUGACUAACUUUGUGUCCUGAUCUGAACUCGAUCGAGAACCUGUGAGAAACGAAGAUUUAAAUAAAUUAGUGGAUAGUGUAAUGGAAAUAAUCAAAGACAACAUGUUUUCUCACAGCGAAAAACAAUGUUAGGAGAAAUUUUCAUUGUUUCUAGACUUGAAGAGAACACAAUUUUCGUCUGUUGUAUCUUCAUUUUUGUUUCACGUUACAACGUGAAAUAAUAUUAACGACUUGCUCAAUCUUUCUUUUAAUAUUAUGAAAGAUCUAAAAAUACAUUUGAAUUUAUAAUUAUUAACAGCACUGUAUAUUAAAUGUACAAGACGCAAUUGAAGUUAUAUAAAUCUGCAAAAUUCUGUAUAAUAUGUAUACGAUGCAAUAAUAAUAAUAACAAGACUAAGAUAAUAGUAAGAAUAAUAGGUUUCAAACAAAGAUGCUACAAUCUGCGAUGAUAUUAUUUUAUUGGAAUCUUUCGCGUGGCGUGUUGAAUACGCCAGAAACAGACAAUAAUGUGAAAUGUGAAAUCUGAAAACGAUUAGAUCUUGCUAAAUUAUUCACUGUCGUCGCUAUAUUUAACCGGGUUCAUCGAACCUAUACAUAGUACAUACAUCGGACGUGCUUCAAAUACAAAGAAGGCUUCAGCUCAUAUCCGAAAGGCAUGUGUAAUAGAAAAUUAAUUUUCCAAUAAAGUCUUCCGAUAAAAGCGUCGAACGAAAGAGCGCGAAUCCAUCGUAAAAAAGAUAUAGAAUUUUCGUAUGUAAGUGUAAUAAAAACGUAAGGUAACCUGAAACGUAAACCUCACUUAGAGAAACGCUACCAUUCGAUAUUAAUUCAAAUAUUUGUAACAGCAGCAAAAAUCGUUUACCACACUUUUCACCGAAAUUCUUUGCGUUUGGAAGAUUUUGUAAAACGUUUAAAAAACGAAGCCACGUUCAAGAUUAAAUUAUUUUCGACGAAAAAAGUGCGAUACCGCCGAAGAAAUGCAAAGGCCUCGACCUAGCGUCUGAAUGUAGGUCAGCUGUAAACUUGAAGUUGCGACUGUAAAUUUCUUAAGCUUGCCGAAUCGUAAAGAGAAGCGGCAUUAAAUAUUCGUAGGCCAGACACAGUCGGUGCGGUUUAAAAAUUUGAAAAGCUCGACGAACGGGAUAUAAACGGCAGGUGAGAGAACGAAUUUCUCGAGAAUUUGUUAUGUCGGUUGUCAAUUUCGGCUGCAAUACGCAUGUAACCGUCGUGGAUGCUGCGGAGCGUGGAAAAUAAAAAGAAAAAUGCUUUGGAAAACAUCAAUUUAUCAAGACACGCGGCCGAAGUGCUGCUUUUGACGUGGCCGCACCCGUUGAAUUUUCGACGUGCGGUGAAACAUGAAGUUUUCAGGCUGCACGUUGUUUAGGAAACUGAAUAUCAUGCCUCGUUUUCGCGCCCAAGUGGCUAGUUUCUCGGAAGCCACGUGUGAUUGACGUUUUGAUAUUUCGCUGAGAUUGCACCUUUCAUUUCUCUUCUUUCGUAUCGUAUCGAAGACGCAUGACGUUUUUCAGUUUCACGCGAGAUUCAAUUGGUUUUCUUUGCGAUAUGCGGGAUUACGUUUUUUUUUUUAAAACAUAGCAACAGCGGAACUUGAUCUUCGAUACGCGCGCUUGUUUCUUGUUAGUACGUUCGGAAGAAUGUCGUAGAAAUGACAUGUCGUAUGACGAUGAUAUUGAUAUUAUUGAAUUAUUUUUCUGUUGCAACCAACUAGAUGAACGAUAAAAAUAACCCACGUGAAAAUUCUUGACGAAUGGCUACGAGACGAUUCUGUUCUUCUAUACUUCCAGAAUUUAUUUUCCUUCCUCCAAUACGAUACGUCAUUGAUGGAGAAAAAUGAAAUAUUUUUACUGUUGAAGGUAUUGAGUUAAUUGAUACGGAAAUAUGAGGAAUUGUUGUUAGUACCAAAGUUAUCGAAUUAAUCAAUGGAGAAACGCGAGACAAAUGGGUAUGAAACCCAUUCUGUUCUUUUAUGUUUGUAGAAUAUAUUUUCCUUCCUCGAAUAUGAUACAUCAUCGAUAGAAAGAGAUGAAGUAUUUUUACUGUUGAAGAUAUUGAGUUAAUUGAUACAGAAAUAUGAGGAAUUAUCGUUGUUCACAUCAAAGUUAUUGAAUUAAUAAAUAGAGAAAUAUGAGAUAUUGUUACUAACAUCGAAUAGUUAACUGUUACAGAAAUACGAGUAAUUAUUGUUAUCAUCAAGGUUAUUGAAUUAAUUACUAAAGAAAUAUGAGGCAUUGCUGUUGACAUUAAAUGGUUAAAUGAUACGGAAAUAUGAGAAGUUAUUCUUAUUAGCAAUUAAACUUAAUUUCCCAAUACAGUGUAUACACGUGCAAUAAAAUAUGUAAAAAGGAACUAGCGAUUAGGAGAAACAUUAAACAAAUCGUUGAAACUGUUACGUAAAACUAUCGGAUAACCGAGAAUUAUGUAAUAAAACCAAAGUAAGCUAGUUCUUCUAUUCUUCCGCUCGCUGUGUUGCAAGCUGGUCACGUUUUCGAUAAAUAGAACUUCGCGGUCUCGAUGGAUUUCUCAUGAUAGAACGCGAACGGUUAAAAAGAAAAAAAAAAAAAGAAA
Bombus terrestris (buff-tailed bumblebee) is the source of this 8100-nucleotide long non-coding RNA. RefSeq lists it as uncharacterized. The record is from RefSeq and is a predicted model, not a curated record. The transcript has 2 exons. NCBI's taxonomy places the organism in Eukaryota, Metazoa, Arthropoda, Insecta, Hymenoptera, Apidae.